Long non-coding RNA from Salvia miltiorrhiza (redroot sage), 311 nucleotides. RefSeq lists it as uncharacterized. The transcript has 3 exons. NCBI's taxonomy places the organism in Eukaryota, Viridiplantae, Streptophyta, Magnoliopsida, Lamiales, Lamiaceae. The record is from RefSeq and is a predicted model, not a curated record.
AUUGAUUUCAAAUUUGUAAAAUAUUUGUCAAAGGCUGGGGUUAUACAUGGAAGCGUGACUGAAAACCAUGGACAAAACGGUGGAGGCCAAGAUGACAUGACUGGGGAUGUCUUGGAACAAAAUGAAGGAGGAAAUACAAUGGAGACAUACACUGAGAUUCAGAAUAAGGAUGGGGUUAACGAUGGACCAGUUCCUGAAAACGGUGAAGGCAUAACUGGUGAAAACGUUGAAGGCAUAGCUGCAUCAAAGGAAUUAGCAAACGUCCAGCACGCCGUCGGUGUCCAGCACGCCGUUAGUAAGGAGAAAAUGGU